This is a regulatory RNA element of Kibdelosporangium aridum, 43 nucleotides long. It matches the Rfam family "L31-Actinobacteria ribosomal protein leader". Lineage: Bacteria; Bacillati; Actinomycetota; Actinomycetes; Pseudonocardiales; Pseudonocardiaceae. The record is from Rfam.
CCGGCUCCGGUUCACCCCGAGUGCGUGUGGGGACCCGGCGGCC